RNAcentral lists this ribosomal RNA (206 nucleotides) under uncultured bacterium. RNAcentral describes it as "partial 16S ribosomal RNA". It matches the Rfam family "Bacterial small subunit ribosomal RNA", at positions 1295 to 1500 of the family's 1533-position model. The record is from RNAcentral.
GGAUUGCAGGCUGCAACCCGCCUGCAUGAAGCCGGAAUCGCUAGUAAUCGCGGAUCAGAAUGCCGCGGUGAAUACGUUCCCGGGUCUUGUACACACCGCCCGUCACACCAUGGGAGUCGAUAACGCCCGAAGUCAGUGACCCAACCGAAAGGAGGGAGCUGCCGAAGGCGGGAUUGGUAACUGGGGUGAAGUCGUAACAAGGUAUC